Long non-coding RNA from Carya illinoinensis, 775 nucleotides. RefSeq lists it as uncharacterized. NCBI's taxonomy places the organism in Eukaryota, Viridiplantae, Streptophyta, Magnoliopsida, Fagales, Juglandaceae. The transcript has 3 exons. The record is from RefSeq and is a predicted model, not a curated record.
UAUAUAUCUCUAUCUUUAUCCACUUACUCUAUCUCUCUCCCUCUCUCCCUCUGUCUAUAUAUAUAUAUAUAUAUUCAAUUCUCACACACAGUACCGUAUACACCUCUCACUCUCUUUUCAGUUAUUGCACAGUCGUACCCUUCACCUUCCCCCAUCUAGUAUAUUUCAAUUUCUUUUCCCCCACCGUAUACACAUACAUAUGUAAUUAUUCUCUCUCUUUCCAUCACUCUCCAAACCAUAAAUAUAUAAGUAUUUCUCUCUCUCUCUUUAAACAGUACAUAUACUCUCUCUCUAUAUAUCUCUAUCUCGAUAACUCUCUCUCACAGCUUCUAGCCUUUGUUGUUUCAUCACCCCCGACGACACUUUUAGGUUCCGAGUGACGUUGGCAAAUGAAUAUCGUGACUAUUUUAAGCAUAAAUUGAGUGUUGUAGAAAGUUCCUCCCUUUGAAGUGAUAGCUGUUGAACUAAAGAUUCCAGAUGGGACUUGGUUUGAUCACUUGAGAUUGGAAGUUUUGUGGAUGGAUGGUUUUGUUACUUGGAGAUGGUUUUGAUUGUACAAAGAGUGUUCUUUUGGUCAUACUUUAGUCAUUUUACAGUUUUUGUUGGAGUAUCUGUUUUGUAAAUAUUUGAGAAAUUAAUGGCUCUAGUCGAACUUGUAAAUGUGUUGGUGAGAAUCAUUGUAUUAUAGUUGUGAAUACUUUGGAAGUUAUGUAUAUGAUACAUGUUGUAAACAGUGAGAAAGUUAUAAUAAUAUAGAUAAAACUCUGUAUGUUUA